Molecule: ribosomal RNA, 2931 nt
Filed under: Escherichia coli
Lineage: Bacteria; Pseudomonadati; Pseudomonadota; Gammaproteobacteria; Enterobacterales; Enterobacteriaceae
Description: bacterial LSU rRNA
Rfam family: Bacterial large subunit ribosomal RNA
Source: RNAcentral
GGGUUGUGAGGUUAAGCGACUAAGCGUACACGGUGGAUGCCCUGGCAGUCAGAGGCGAUGAAGGACGUGCUAAUCUGCGAUAAGCGUCGGUGAGGUGAUAUGAACCGUUAUAACCGGCGAUUUCCGAAUGGGGAAACCCAGUGUGUUUCGACACACUAUCAUUAACUGAAUCCAUAGGUUAAUGAGGCGAACCGGGGGAACUGAAACAUCUAAGUACCCCGAGGAAAAGAAAUCAACCGAGAUUCCCCCAGUAGCGGCGAGCGAACGGGGAGGAGCCCAGAGCCUGAAUCAGUGUGUGUGUUAGUGGAAGCGUCUGGAAAGGCGCGCGAUACAGGGUGACAGCCCCGUACACAAAAAUGCACAUAUUGUGAGCUCGAUGAGUAGGGCGGGACACGUGGUAUCCUGUCUGAAUAUGGGGGGACCAUCCUCCAAGGCUAAAUACUCCUGACUGACCGAUAGUGAACCAGUACCGUGAGGGAAAGGCGAAAAGAACCCCGGCGAGGGGAGUGAAAAAGAACCUGAAACCGUGUACGUACAAGCAGUGGGAGCCUCUUAAUGGGGUGACUGCGUACCUUUUGUAUAAUGGGUCAGCGACUUAUAUUCUGUAGCAAGGUUAACCGAAUAGGGGAGCCGAAGGGAAACCGAGUCUUAACUGGGCGUUAAGUUGCAGGGUAUAGACCCGAAACCCGGUGAUCUAGCCAUGGGCAGGUUGAAGGUUGGGUAACACUAACUGGAGGACCGAACCGACUAAUGUUGAAAAAUUAGCGGAUGACUUGUGGCUGGGGGUGAAAGGCCAAUCAAACCGGGAGAUAGCUGGUUCUCCCCGAAAGCUAUUUAGGUAGCGCCUCGUGAAUUCAUCUCCGGGGGUAGAGCACUGUUUCGGCAAGGGGGUCAUCCCGACUUACCAACCCGAUGCAAACUGCGAAUACCGGAGAAUGUUAUCACGGGAGACACACGGCGGGUGCUAACGUCCGUCGUGAAGAGGGAAACAACCCAGACCGCCAGCUAAGGUCCCAAAGUCAUGGUUAAGUGGGAAACGAUGUGGGAAGGCCCAGACAGCCAGGAUGUUGGCUUAGAAGCAGCCAUCAUUUAAAGAAAGCGUAAUAGCUCACUGGUCGAGUCGGCCUGCGCGGAAGAUGUAACGGGGCUAAACCAUGCACCGAAGCUGCGGCAGCGACACUAUGUGUUGUUGGGUAGGGGAGCGUUCUGUAAGCCUGUGAAGGUGGCCUGUGAGGGUUGCUGGAGGUAUCAGAAGUGCGAAUGCUGACAUAAGUAACGAUAAAGCGGGUGAAAAGCCCGCUCGCCGGAAGACCAAGGGUUCCUGUCCAACGUUAAUCGGGGCAGGGUGAGUCGACCCCUAAGGCGAGGCCGAAAGGCGUAGUCGAUGGGAAACAGGUUAAUAUUCCUGUACUUGGUGUUACUGCGAAGGGGGGACGGAGAAGGCUAUGUUGGCCGGGCGACGGUUGUCCCGGUUUAAGCGUGUAGGCUGGUUUUCCAGGCAAAUCCGGAAAACCAAGGCUGAGGCGUGAUGACGAGGCACUACGGUGCUGAAGCGACAAAUGCCCUGCUUCCAGGAAAAGCCUCUAAGCAUCAGGUAACAUCAAAUCGUACCCCAAACCGACACAGGUGGUCAGGUAGAGAAUACCAAGGCGCUUGAGAGAACUCGGGUGAAGGAACUAGGCAAAAUGGUGCCGUAACUUCGGGAGAAGGCACGCUGAUAUGUAGGUGAAGCGACUUGCUCGUGGAGCUGAAAUCAGUCGAAGAUACCAGCUGGCUGCAACUGUUUAUUAAAAACACAGCACUGUGCAAACACGAAAGUGGACGUAUACGGUGUGACGCCUGCCCGGUGCCGGAAGGUUAAUUGAUGGGGUUAGCGGCAACGCGAAGCUCUUGAUCGAAGCCCCGGUAAACGGCGGCCGUAACUAUAACGGUCCUAAGGUAGCGAAAUUCCUUGUCGGGUAAGUUCCGACCUGCACGAAUGGCGUAAUGAUGGCCAGGCUGUCUCCACCCGAGACUCAGUGAAAUUGAACUCGCUGUGAAGAUGCAGUGUACCCGCGGCAAGACGGAAAGACCCCGUGAACCUUUACUAUAGCUUGACACUGAACAUUGAGCCUUGAUGUGUAGGAUAGGUGGGAGGCUUUGAAGUGUGGACGCCAGUCUGCAUGGAGCCGGCCUUGAAAUACCACCCUUUAAUGUUUGAUGUUCUAACGUUGGCCCGUAAUCCGGGUUGCGGACAGUGUCUGGUGGGUAGUUUGACUGGGGCGGUCUCCUCCUAAAGAGUAACGGAGGAGCACGAAGGUUGGCUAAUCCUGGUCGGACAUCAGGAGGUUAGUGCAAUGGCAUAAGCCAGCUUGACUGCGAGCGUGACGGCGCGAGCAGGUGCGAAAGCAGGUCAUAGUGAUCCGGUGGUUCUGAAUGGAAGGGCCAUCGCUCAACGGAUAAAAGGUACUCCGGGGAUAACAGGCUGAUACCGCCCAAGAGUUCAUAUCGACGGCGGUGUUUGGCACCUCGAUGUCGGCUCAUCACAUCCUGGGGCUGAAGUAGGUCCCAAGGGUAUGGCUGUUCGCCAUUUAAAGUGGUACGCGAGCUGGGUUUAGAACGUCGUGAGACAGUUCGGUCCCUAUCUGCCGUGGGCGCUGGAGAACUGAGGGGGGCUGCUCCUAGUACGAGAGGACCGGAGUGGACGCAUCACUGGUGUUCGGGUUGUCAUGCCAAUGGCACUGCCCGGUAGCUAAAUGCGGAAGAGAUAAGUGCUGAAAGCAUCUAAGCACGAAACUUGCCCCGAGAUGAGUUCUCCCUGAGACUUAGAGUCUCCUGAAGGAACGUUGAAGACGACGACGUUGAUAGGCCGGGUGUGUAAGCGCAGCGAUGCGUUGAGCUAACCGGUACUAAUGAACCGUGAGGCUUAACCUUACAACGCCGAAGGUGUUU